RNAcentral lists this ribosomal RNA (492 nucleotides) under uncultured bacterium. RNAcentral's name for it is "partial 16S ribosomal RNA". It matches the Rfam family "Bacterial small subunit ribosomal RNA", at positions 29 to 507 of the family's 1533-position model. The record is from RNAcentral.
AGUGAACGCUGGCGGUAGGCCUAACACAUGCAAGUCGAACGGAAGCACAGUAAGAGCUUGCUCUUACGGGUGGCGAGUGGCGGACGGGUGAGGAAUACAUCGGAAUCUACUUUUUCGGGGGGGAUAACGUAGGGAAACUUACGCUAAUACCGCAUACGACCUACGGGUGAAAGCAGGGGAUAUUCGGACCUUGCGCGAUUGAAUGAGCCGAUGUCGGAUUAGCUAGUUGGCGGGGUAAAGGCCCACCAAGGCGACGAUCCGUAGCUGGUCUGAGAGGAUGAUCCGCCACACUGGAACUGAGACACGGUCCAGACUCCUACGGGAGGCAGCAGUGGGGAAUAUUAGACAAUGGGCGCAAGCCUGAUCCAGCCAUACCGCGUGGGUGAAGAAGGCCUUCGGGUUGUAAAGCCCUUUUGUUGGGAAAGAAAAGCAGCAGGUUAAUACCCCGCUGUUCUGACGGUACCCAAAGAAUAAGCACCGGCUAACUUCGUG